Chenopodium quinoa (quinoa) is the source of this 1064-nucleotide long non-coding RNA. RefSeq lists it as uncharacterized. The record is from RefSeq and is a predicted model, not a curated record. The transcript is spliced from 4 exons. Lineage: Eukaryota; Viridiplantae; Streptophyta; Magnoliopsida; Caryophyllales; Amaranthaceae.
GGCUGGCCCGGCCCGGCACGUGGGCCGUGCCUUUCCGUGGGCUGGCCUAGUGGAAAUGGCGGCACAGCACGGCCCGCUACAGCAUGGUCCGGCCUGUUGCCCAUCUUUAUCUCCAGGUAUUAUUAUCUCGCUCUUUUCUCUUCCUUGUUCUAAUUGAUCCAAUUUUCAUCUCUUCUCUUCAAUUAGAUUUUAGCUAUUAUAUAUGAAUGUUGACUGUUUUUAUUCUUCUUCUUUAUUUCUCCUCUUUUUUCCGUUUUAUUCGCCUUUUUUUCUCGUCCUCCUAUUUUUCUGUUUUCUCUCUAAAAUAGGUGGAAGGAGAAGAUGGAGCAAGGUUUGGUGGACUCGAGUUUGAGGUGAAUAUACUCAGCAUCAGCUUGAGAGGUAAUUUGUUGAUUCUUCGAUGCCGUUAUCUCUGAUCUCCAGUAUAGUCAUGCACAGGACAUCUUUAGAGUGCCAAGAUGCUUCUCUGGCUCGUUAUGGAUUUGGGAAGGCAUGACCAAUCAUUUCGUGUAAUGCUAAGUCACUUCCUCUGGCAAUCAGGCAAGUACAUUGAUAAAAGGCUCAGAUUUUGUAUGAGCAACAUCAACCUUGAAUUGAAUUAGCAAAAGAGAGAAACAAGAUAAUGAGGUGGCAGCUGCACAACAAAGACAGCAGCAACAAGGCGGCAGCAGCAGACCCUGGUUGGUUACGGUAGUGUAUAAAGGAGGCAGCAGCAACAUCUAAACUAGAGGUGAGAGGAUGGUGCAAAAGAUUUGAGGUCUGGAGUUUUCGUUAAUUCACAAAUCUAUGCUUUUUUGGUGGAAACAAUUGAUUGGUUUUGUUGGGUUUUUAAUAAUAGAAUAUGGGUGUUGGAUAAUUUUGCCCAGACUAUUUUUUUGUGAAGUUAAGUAGAUAAUCCAUUCCAGUGUUUUAGUUUAGGAUAGCCUAAAAUGUUGUUAAAUAGUUUCUUGCAUUUGAUGUUACUCAGAUGGAUAUGAGAGUUUAAGAUUAAUCGUAAUUUUGGGCUAUGUUCUUCCAUUUGUAUGAAUGUUACAUAUCGCGUUAUGUAGAGUUUUUAUAAGUUA